Molecule: long non-coding RNA, 277 nt
Filed under: Phascolarctos cinereus (koala)
Lineage: Eukaryota; Metazoa; Chordata; Mammalia; Diprotodontia; Phascolarctidae
Description: lncRNA (ENSPCIG00000035380.1)
Source: RNAcentral
CCGGGAAGUAAGCUUUCUAGGAGUCGAUACGUUCUCUAAGGGGUGAGAGCAGGCGCCCACCAACCGCUUUCUUGGUGGCUCUCAGACUUGGGGAUUGAUCUCCCUCCUGGCUGGGCAGACGACCGGGGGAGGGGAACUUGGAGAAACAGAAAUAAGACAGAGAAAAAGCUCCAGUAGUUGUACAGGUGCAAAAGCCCCUGCCGGGUGGAGAGACCAGUCACCAGCCUUAAAGGAGUGGGUGGACGAGAGAGAGAAAGAAAAAUACUUUACAAAUUGA